ACAGCAGUCGCCGCGGGGAAUACGUAGGGUGCAAGCGUUAAUCGGAAUUACUGGGCGUAAAGCGUGCGCAGGCGGUUAUAUAAGACAGAUGUGAAAUCCCCGGGCUCAACCUGGGAACUGCAUUUGUGACUGUAUAGCUAGAGUACGGCAGAGGGGGAUGGAAUUCCGCGUGUAGCAGUGAAAUGCGUAGAUAUGCGGAGGAACACCGAUGGCGAAGGCAAUCCCCUGGGCCUGUACUGACGCUCAUGCACGAAAGCGUGGGGAGCAAACAGGAUUAGAUACCCCAGUAGUCCCUGUCUCUUAUU
Molecule: ribosomal RNA, 305 nt
Filed under: uncultured bacterium
Lineage: Bacteria
Description: partial 16S ribosomal RNA
Rfam family: Bacterial small subunit ribosomal RNA
Source: RNAcentral